This 468-nucleotide ribosomal RNA is filed under the name uncultured bacterium. RNAcentral's name for it is "partial 16S ribosomal RNA". It matches the Rfam family "Bacterial small subunit ribosomal RNA", at positions 28 to 507 of the family's 1533-position model. The record is from RNAcentral.
GACGAACGCUGGCGGCGUGCUUAACACAUGCAAGUCGAACGGAAAGGCCCUGCUUUUGUGGGGUGCUCGAGUGGCGAACGGGUGAGUAACACGUGAGUAACCUGCCCUUGACUUUGGGAUAACUUCAGGAAACUGGGGCUAAUACCGGAUAGGAGCUCCUGCUGCAUGGUGGGGGUUGGAAAGUUUCGGCGGUUGGGGAUGGACUCGCGGCUUAUCAGCUUGUUGGUGGGGUAGUGGCUUACCAAGGCUUUGACGGGUAGCCGGCCUGAGAGGGUGACCGGCCACAUUGGGACUGAGAUACGGCCCAGACUCCUACGGGAGGCAGCAGUGGGGAAUAUUGCACAGUGGGCGGAAGCCUGAUGCAGCAGCGCCGCGUGCGGGAUGACGGCCUUCGGGUUGUAAACCGCUUUCGCCUGUGACGAAGCGUGAGUGACGGUAAUGGGUAAAGAAGCACCGGCUAACUACGUG